RNAcentral lists this ribosomal RNA (302 nucleotides) under uncultured bacterium. Its description in RNAcentral is "partial 16S ribosomal RNA". It matches the Rfam family "Bacterial small subunit ribosomal RNA", at positions 508 to 807 of the family's 1533-position model. The record is from RNAcentral.
GCAGCAGCCACGGUAAAACAGAGGGUGCGAGCGUUAAUCGGAUUUACUGGGCGUAAAGCGUGCGUAGGCGGCUUCUUAAGUCGGAUGUGAAAUCCCUGAGCUUAACUUAGGAAUUGCAUUCGAUACUGGGAAGCUAGAGUAUGGGAGAGGAUGGUAGAAUUCCAGGUGUAGCGGUGAAAUGCGUAGAGAUCUGGAGGAAUACCGAUGGCGAAGGCAGCCAUCUGGCCUAAUACUGACGCUGAGGUACGAAAGCAUGGGGAGCAAACAGGAUUAGAUACCCCUGUAGUCCCUGUCUCUUAUAC